CGUUCCCGGGCCUUGUACACACCGCCCGUCAAGCCAUGGAAGUUGGGAGUGCCUAAAGUCCGCAACCGCAAGGAGCGGCCUAGGGCAAUACCGAUGACUGGGGCU
This 105-nucleotide ribosomal RNA is filed under the name uncultured bacterium. Its description in RNAcentral is "partial 16S ribosomal RNA". It matches the Rfam family "Bacterial small subunit ribosomal RNA", at positions 1369 to 1482 of the family's 1533-position model. The record is from RNAcentral.